Molecule: long non-coding RNA, 845 nt
Organism: Tachysurus fulvidraco (yellow catfish)
Lineage: Eukaryota; Metazoa; Chordata; Actinopteri; Siluriformes; Bagridae
Exons: 3
Source: RefSeq, a predicted model, not a curated record
UUGUGCGCUGUCUUACCUCUGGAUUGUCCCUGAAUAUCUACGGGUAUUUUCUUGGCUUACUGUACGAGCCUACUGUACAGCUGCUGACUCAUGCGCCCGUCCGUUCCACCUUUCGGCAGUUGAAGUUGCAAAAUUGGAGACUCUGCUGAUGCAUUGGUGCGGGGAUCCUCUCUUCCACAAGGAGCUUCUCUCCAUGGGCCAGGGCGGUCUAGAGGUUCAGCAACACCAGUGGAGAAGUCUGGUGAUUUUGCUGGCCAGUCAAGCACACCAACACCAUGGUCAUUUAGCCAACUUUUGGUGCUUUUGCAGUGUGGGCGGGUGCUAAAUCCUGAGGAAAAUGAAAUCAGCUUUAAACAGCUGGUCAGCAGAAGGAAGCAUUAAGUACUCUAAGAUUUUUUGGUAAAUGGGUGCAGUGACUUUGGUUUUCUAAAAACACAGUGGACAAACACCAGCAGAUGGCAAUGCACCACAAAUCAUCACAGACUGUGGAAACUUAACACUGGACUAAAAGCAACUUGAGCUAUGAGCUUCUCCAGCCUUCCUCCAGACUCUAGGACCUUAGUUUGCAAAUGAAAUACAAAACUUGGCAUGUCAACAUAUUUGAAUUUUUUGAGAUAAUGAAUUGGUGGGUUUUUGUGAAAUGUGAGCCAAAAUCAUCACAAUUAAAAGUACCAAAGACUUAAACUACUUCAGUCUGUGUGUACUGAAUUUAUAUAAACACAAAUUUCACUAUUUGAGUUGAAUUACUGAAACAAAUUAACUUUUCCUCAACAUACUAAUUUAUUGAGACGCACCUGUAUGUAAAUGCAAUUAUUAGGCAAAUUAUAGGUAUGCUUUAUUAAUCA